CAUUCACGGAGAGUUUGAUCCUGGCUCAGGACGAACGCUGGCGGCGUGCUUAACACAUGCAAGUCGAACGAUGAACCACCUUCGGGUGGGGAUUAGUGGCGAACGGGUGAGUAACACGUGGGCAAUCUGCCCUGCACUCUGGGACAAGCCCUGGAAACGGGGUCUAAUACCGGAUACUGAACCGCUUGGGCAUCCAGGCGGUUCGAAAGCUCCGGCGGUGCAGGAUGAGCCCGCGGCCUAUCAGCUUGUUGGUGAGGUAACGGCUCACCAAGGCGACGACGGGUAGCCGGC
Molecule: ribosomal RNA, 291 nt
Filed under: Streptomyces sp. SID9913
Lineage: Bacteria; Bacillati; Actinomycetota; Actinomycetes; Kitasatosporales; Streptomycetaceae
Description: partial 16S ribosomal RNA
Rfam family: Bacterial small subunit ribosomal RNA
Source: RNAcentral